This is an unclassified non-coding RNA of Vespa mandarinia (Asian giant hornet), 3347 nucleotides long. NCBI's taxonomy places the organism in Eukaryota, Metazoa, Arthropoda, Insecta, Hymenoptera, Vespidae. The record is from RefSeq and is a predicted model, not a curated record.
AGACGUUCGGUCGUUCCCGCGUGUCUCGAUCGUGCUCAUACAGUCGGACACGGACACACUUAGACAGAGGAACGUACGUAAACGACGUUCUCGCACGCUCGCUCGUUCGUUCGUUCUUUCGUUCGUUCGCUCAGUGUAUCUAUCCCUCUCUUUUACCAUUCUAUCUCCAUCUCUCUUUCUAGUCGUUGGCGAAGAGGAACGCGGCGCGUAGCAGUAUUCUCGCUCGAUUGGCCCGGCAGUCGUAGCCGAGUCGAUCCGUCGUUCGCGCUUAAUUUUCUUCGCGAUCCACAGAGUGUUCUUCUCCCUCUUUCUCUUCUUGUUUUCUUAUUUCUCUUUUUUUUCUUCUUUUUUUUUCCCCUUUUUCUUGCACAUUACAAACGGGUUGGAACGCGUGCAAGUGGAGAACCGUUAAAGCGCUCUCUCUCACCCGUUUAACUUAGUCGAUAGAAACGUCUCGCACCGAUUAGAUCUCUUUCGGUAUUUCGUUCUUUUUCGAUGAUUUUUAAAACUGUAAUCGAAAAGAAGACAGAUUGAAGAAGCAUAAUUCGUCUCUUCUUCGAAGAUUGAUAAUAAUAAGAGAAAGAAAGAAAGGAAAUAAGAUUAAGAAGACAAAGAGUUUUGAAACAUAUAGAAGAAGAAUAAAGAGUACUAGUAGUAGUAGUAGUAGUAGUAGUAGUAGUAGUAGUAGUAGGAGGAGGAGGAGAAGAAGGAGGAGGAGAAGGAAGAAGAAGAGAGAGAGAGAGGAAGAAGAUCAAGCCCUUGGUUCGGUGCGCGCGAACGCACGCGCGCACUCAAUUCUUAAGGUCGACGACUGUGAGAGACUACUAACUACCGGUACUUCUUUCGCCCGCGAAACAUGCUCGCGGUCAAAGUGGAAUAUACAGAGGAGGCCAACAUGAUGGACUCGGUCUCUACAGUAUCAUCAUCGACGAGUUCAUCGACCGUUUCCCAACAACAACAACAACAGCAGCAACAACAACAACAACAACAACAGCAGCAACAGCAGCAGCAACAACAGGGAGUACCGUUCGACGAAAGCGGUUUUGAGCCACAAACGAGAGCGCGAUCCAACACGUGGCCUUUACCGAGGCCCGAUGGAUACGUCGAUGGUAACGUUGGAGUCGUCGUUGGUGGUUCUGGUGGUGGUAGUGGUGCUUGUGGUGUACAAACUGGUAACGACAUAGGCGAGGUAGGUGGUACACCACCGCAACAGGCAACAUUGGGACAAACAGGUGCGGGGGGUGCACCAUUAUUCCCAGUUAAAAAGAACUCAUCUAGAAGAAACGCGUGGGGUAAUCUAAGCUAUGCCGAUAUGAUUACACAAGCGAUCACCAGUGCACCGGAACAAAGGCUCACGUUAUCCCAGAUAUACGAGUGGAUGGUACAGAACGUUAACUAUUUCAAGGACAAGGGUGAUAGUAAUAGCAGUGCCGGUUGGAAGAAUUCCAUAAGACACAACCUGUCGUUGCAUUGCAAAUUCAUGAGAGUACAGAAUGAGGGAACGGGAAAGAGUUCAUGGUGGAUGAUCAAUCACGAUGCUAAACCCGGGAAAUCACCACGACGUAGAGCUACGUCAAUGGAGACGAGCAAAUUUGAAAAAAGACGUGGUCGAGUUAAGAAGAAGGUCGAAGCAUUGAGAAACGGAGUUUUGCAAGCUGAUGCUACACCAAGCCCAAGUAGCAGCGUCAGCGAGGGUUUGGAUCUUUUCCCUGACAGUCCACUUCAUCCAGCCAGUGGAUUUCAACUUUCACCGGACUUUCGACCUCGAGCAUCGAGUAACGCGUCCUCCAGUGGUCGAUUGAGUCCAAUUCCUGCGGUUUACGGGGAACCAGAAUGGACACCAACCUAUGCGCCAUCUUACAGUCCGGAACAGUUAGACACGAUCCUGGCCGGUAGCCUCGCGGAAACCAUGAAAUUGGAGUCGUAUCAAAUGUACCAAACGUCACCCCCUAAUCAUCAGCAACAAACUGGCCCACCACCUUCUUACUUCGAUACGCAAUAUCAGAGAAACAAUACUCUACGCACUGGUUCGUCAUCUUUCGGACUUCCACCUACGCCACAGCCCAGUAGUCAACAGAGGUGCCCGAUACAUCGUUUACAGGCUUGCGCUUGUCAGAUGAACCUGAGUCCGGUGUCUGGAAUGUCACCGUCAUAUCAACAGAACGAACCAAGCCCAACGGCGCUGAGUAAUAGUCAACAACAAACGAUCCAGUAUAUGAUUCAGAAUCAACAACGGCAACAGCAGCAACAACAGCAGCAACAGCAACAGCAACAGCAGCAGCAGCAGCAACAACAACAACAGCAACAACAACAACAACAGCAGCAACAGCAGCAGCAGCAACAACAGCAACGACAUCAACAACAGCAACAGCAGCAGCAACAACAGCAGCAACAACAGCAAGCACAGAAUGGUCCAGCGGGAGUAAGUCCGCCGCACACACCUUCCCCAUGUGAUUCAACGCCAAGUACAAUGAUGGGACAAUUAAUGGGUGCCCUUAAUAACUCAGCCCUGCUCGAUGAUCUCAAUAUUAAUAUCGAAACGUUGCACGGUGGAUUUGAUUGUAACGUCGAAGAGGUAAUAAAUCACGAGCUUUCGAUGGAUGAAACAUUGGAUUUCAAUUUUCAACAAGGCGUAAUGGGUACUGCGGCGAUUCAAGUUAGCGACGGUAACAUCGUCGGACAAAAUGGUAUAGUUACUCAAAAUAAUGUUGGGGUUGGUACGGCUACCGGAAAUGCACCAGCGGGAGUUUACAUGAGCACCAAUGCGGCGACUCCCGCGGCACCACCUUCUUGGGUUCACUAGCAGUGGACCCCUCUGCCCUCGACACCACCAUUGUCCUUACCAAUUCCAUCGACCAACAUCGAUGGAUGGGACAAUUAUUGCGGGAUGUCGGAGGGACAAUUCGACUGUCCGAUUGUCGAGGAUGCAAGAAUGAAUCGAGCACUUGUGAUAAGAUGUAGACAUAAUUAUACCAGACCACGACGAUACGCAUACUUCAAAAAUACUAUAUUACGUUAGUGCAAUUAUUAACGCGAGGAAUAAUUAACGGCAAGAGAGAGAGAGAAAGAGAGAGAGAAAGAGAGACAGAGCCAGAGAGAGAGAGAGAGAGAGAGAGAGAGAGAGAGAGAGAGAGAGAGAGAGAGAGAGAGAGCGUAUCUAUCUCUUCCAUCCCCAUACUUCUUUUCCCCGUCCUUCUUCAUCUCCUCUCCCCCUCCCCCCUUUUCUUCCUGCUAGUCCUUCUUAUUCUCAUCCACCUCAUCCUUUUCAAGAAGAGGAAAAUGGUUGGAUACUUGAAUGAAAAGAAAAAAUAAAUAAAUAAAAAAAAGGUAGAAUAGGCGAGAGGAAU